UAUCAACCAAACACGACAUAAACAAGUUGCAA
RNAcentral lists this non-coding RNA (32 nucleotides) under Mus musculus (house mouse). Lineage: Eukaryota; Metazoa; Chordata; Mammalia; Rodentia; Muridae. The record is from RNAcentral.